RNAcentral lists this small nuclear RNA (24 nucleotides) under Arabidopsis thaliana (thale cress). RNAcentral's name for it is "snRNA_14558". Lineage: Eukaryota; Viridiplantae; Streptophyta; Magnoliopsida; Brassicales; Brassicaceae. The record is from RNAcentral.
AUGGGAAGAUUGCGCCGGUGGGAA